UUUUUGGCGUUAGGGUUAAAAUCACUGUCCAAAACCUUUUUAGGAACAUGUUUCAGACCUUUUGGAGUUGGUAACACCAAAAAUAAAUGUAAAAUGAAAAAAAAAUAUUUGGGGUGUUCGGGUUCCCUGAAGGUAAUACCCGGGUAUUAGGUUUUGGGGCUAGGGUAAGGUUUAAGGUUUUUGACGUUAGGGUUAAAAUCACUGUCCAAAACCUUUUAAGGAACAAGAUUCAGACCUUUUGGAGUUGGUUGCACCAAAAAAAAUGUAAAAUGAAAAAAAAAAUAGUUGGGGUGUUCGGGCUUCCUGAAGGUAAUACCCUUCAGGUUUAAGUAUUAGGUUAUGGGGCUAGGAUUAGGUUUAAGGUUUUUGGCGUAAGGGUUAAAAUCACUGUCCAAUAUUUUUAAGGAACAUGUUUCAGACCUUUUGGACAUAGUUUAACCAAAAAAAAAAAAGAAAUAGAAAAAAUAUAUAUUUGGGGUGUUCGGGCUUCCUGAAGGUAAUACCCGGGUAUUAGGUUAUGGGGCUAGGGUAAGGUUUAAGGUUUUUGGCGUGAGGGUUAAAAUCACUGUCCAAAACCUUUGUAGGAACUCUUU
This is a non-coding RNA of Xyrichtys novacula (pearly razorfish), 593 nucleotides long. Lineage: Eukaryota; Metazoa; Chordata; Actinopteri; Labriformes; Labridae. The record is from the annotation of a GenBank genome assembly.